AUGGAACCAAAGAAAUGCAAGGGUCUUCCACUCUACAUCGCCUCCUUGAUUAUGCUUGUGAGUUGGACCAUAUGGAAUGAAAGAAAUGCAAGGGUCUUUCACUCUACAUCGCCAAUAAUCCUUCUCGAGACCAUUAACAAAGAGGCGAAACAUUGAGUCACCACGGGUGCAAAACAUUUGGGUCUAAUCAUGUCAGGAGAGUAG
RNAcentral lists this ribosomal RNA (204 nucleotides) under Triticum aestivum (bread wheat). RNAcentral's name for it is "partial small subunit ribosomal RNA". The record is from RNAcentral. Lineage: Eukaryota; Viridiplantae; Streptophyta; Magnoliopsida; Poales; Poaceae.